RNAcentral lists this ribosomal RNA (240 nucleotides) under uncultured Lactobacillus sp. RNAcentral describes it as "partial 16S ribosomal RNA". It matches the Rfam family "Bacterial small subunit ribosomal RNA", at positions 122 to 354 of the family's 1533-position model. The record is from RNAcentral. Lineage: Bacteria; Bacillati; Bacillota; Bacilli; Lactobacillales; Lactobacillaceae.
UAACCUGCCCAAGAGAUCGGGAUAACACCUGGAAACAGAUGCUAAUACCGGAUAACAACAGAUGAUGCCUAUCAACUGUUUAAAAGAUGGUUCUGCUAUCACUCUUGGAUGGACCUGCGGUGCAUUAGCUAGUUGGUAGGGUAACGGCCUACCAAGGCGAUGAUGCAUAGCCGAGUUGAGAGACUGAUCGGCCACAUUGGGACUGAGACAAGGCCCAAACUCCUACGGGAGGCAGCAGAC